UCCGUGCAAUUGUAGGGCUAAUACAUGAGCAAAAUCUCAACUUUAUUAGAAGAGACGCAUUUAUUAGAUAAAAAGCCAAUGCAUGCUUUUACAGUAUGAAAAUUGGUGAUUUAUAAUAACUUAGCAAAUCGCAAAGUGAAAACAGGCGAUAAAUCAUUCAAGUUUCUGACCUAUCAGCUUUCGACGGUAUGGUAUUGGCUUACCGUGGCAGUGACGGUUAACGGGGGAUUAGGGUUCGAUUCCGGAGAGGGAGCCUGAGAAACGGCUACCACAUCUAAGGAAGGCAGCAGGCGCGCAAAUUACCCAAUUCUAACAGUUUGAGAGAGGUAGUAACAAGAAAUAACAAUACAAGGCAGUUAAAAUGCUUUGUAAUUGGAAUGAUAGAAAUUUAAACCCUUUUUAAAGUAUCAAUUGGAGGGCAAGUCUGGUGCCAGCAGCCGCGGUAAUUCCAGCUCCAAUAGCGUAUAUUAAAAUUGUUGCAGUUAAAAAGCUCGUAGUUGAAGUUCUGCUAAAAGUAACCGGUCUGCUUUUAAUAAAGGUGGUAUCUUGGUGUGUAUUUAGCAAUGAUGUCCUUUGAAGUGUUUUUUACUUUAUUGUAAUAAAGCAUAUUCAGGACUUUUACUUUGAGAAAA
RNAcentral lists this ribosomal RNA (632 nucleotides) under Hepatozoon sp. RNAcentral's name for it is "SSU rRNA". It matches the Rfam family "Eukaryotic small subunit ribosomal RNA", at positions 146 to 765 of the family's 1831-position model. The record is from RNAcentral. Lineage: Eukaryota; Apicomplexa; Hepatozoidae.